Molecule: long non-coding RNA, 2352 nt
Filed under: Cyanistes caeruleus (blue tit)
Lineage: Eukaryota; Metazoa; Chordata; Aves; Passeriformes; Paridae
Description: lncRNA (ENSCCEG00000004585.1)
Source: RNAcentral
CAAGGGGACAGAAGGCCCUGGAGGAGCCGGGGUGGUGGGAAGCCCUGAGGAAUUGGGUGUCAGAGGCCAUAAGCAGCCCCCGGGCAGCCGCCUGGUCCCUUACACCUGGCUGCUCCGGUGCUGCCCCAAAAUAUCCCCCAGGCCUGCAGCAGAAGGCCUGGAGGCUGGGACACCACCCCAGCGGGAGGGUGGGGACAGCCCGAGGUGCCCAGGCUGGGCUGGCUGGGGACAUGGAGGGCAGGGGGUGCUGCCAGGCCACGGCCACUGGGUGCCUCCAGGAAGGGGCAGUGGGCAGAGGCAGGGCUGGCGGCCAGCCCGGGCCCUCGCGGCUGCCCAGGCCACGCUGCUGUGACCGAGGCCCCCCUGACACAGAGCUCGGGGCCCACAGAGCUGCUGCCACCAUGGAGAGGGUGGCGAUGUCUCCUCCAGCAGGGCUGCCCAGUGGCUGCUGCCCAAGCGGCUCUGGAGCCCACAGAAACAGCAGCAGAGUGUGCCCAGGAACAGCAGCANNNNNNNNNNNNNNNNNNNNCCCCACCGCAGCUCGGCCCCAGCCCCGGCUGCUGCCCCGGCAGCGGCACCCGGGCCCGGCGCCCUGGAUCCCCGGCUGCCCUCGGGGCUGCUGCUGCCGGCCUCUGGCAGCCGUGCCCUUGGGCUGGGUCAGGAUGCGGCAAGGGCCCGGGCUGAGGCAUGCCGGGGCAGGAGGCCGUGUGGCCACAGGGCUGGCAGCGCCGCUGGCAGGGAGCUGUGCUGCUGGGACCCUGACAGGCUCUGUGUUCUCAGGGAUGGCCGGGGAGCAGCUGAGGGGGCAGCAGGCAGAGCUCCAGGUGUUGUGCAGAGCCCUCGAACGCCUGACGGAGGACAGAAGCGGUGCCGUGUCAGACCUGGCACUUGAGACGCUGUAUGUCCUCCGGGCCAUCCAGNNNNNNNNNNNNNNNNNNNNAAGGCUAGAGAAGCCCCCUGGCCCCGGUGCUCAGUGUGUGGGGCUGGCAGCUGUGCCCCUGCCCACUGCUGCACCCGGGGGCCGCACGGCUGCCUCAGGGCUGGCCGGGCACGGGAGGCCGGGGCUGGUCACAGGCAGCAGCGCCCGGCCGAGGGACAGAGCCCGCGCCAACCCUUCCCUCCUGCCGCUCUCUCCAGCUGGCCGACCACAGGAUCCCCUUGGCCGAGCACCUGCGCCGGGCCCUGCAGUACCUGCAGGACCCACAGGAGACCCUGCGAGCGACGGCCAUCAGGGUCAUCGGGAUGGCCGGGGAGCAGCUGAGGGGGCAGCACGCAGAGCUCCAGGUGUUGUGCAGAGCCCUCGAACGCCUGACGGAGGACAGAAGUGGUGCCGUGUCAGACCUGGCACUUGAGACGCUGUAUGUCCUCCGGGCCAUCCAGAGUGCCCGAUAUUCCAUCCUGCAGAGGAUGCAAGACCAAAUCCUCAGGGCAUGGAGGACACGGCCUCGUCUGUCGGGCCUGGGCUGGCUGCGCUGCUGGAGAUGUGCUCAGCGCUGACCUGAGAGGCUCUGUCUUCUGGGGCCACCUGGGCCAGCCAGGAUUUUUUAUUUCAUAAGGGUUGUUUUUUCCUUUUUCUCUUCUUUUUAGUAUGUAAAUAAUAUAGGAUAUGUUAGGGCUGAGAGGCUCUAUCUUCUGGGGCCACAUGGGCCAUCUGUUAUUUUUUGUUUCAUAGAGAUUGUUCUUUUCUUCGUUUCGUUUCCAUCUAGUAUGUAAAUAAUAUAGGAUAUGUUAUAAACCACAAGAGUCCCAAGACCUUUCUUUUGCUGCCCAGGGUGUGUGGGGCAUAGGGGAAGAGAGGGAAAAGGGUUCUUGUGUUCAGCAACCUGCCGGGGCGUGCAGUGGUGCAGGGGAAAUGGCCAGAAGCCCCUUGGCCUUUGGUGGUUGUGCUGAAGCCACAAGCCCUGUGGCAGGCAGGAAGCGCCAUCUGUGUCCUGCUGCCCGUGUGUUGCUGCCGUGAUGGCUGAGGAGCUGCUGGAGCUCCUGUGGGGCUGCGGCGCUGCUGCCGGGCCAGGCUGGGGGAGCCCCUGAGGGCACGGGGUGCUGGGAGGCCGUGAAGGGAUGAGGGGCUGCGGAGGCCCAGACGGGACAAGGCAGUGGGAAGGCACGAGGGGGAUGUGUGAGGGAGUGGGUGGCAGGAGGUUCCAAGGGGACAGAAGGCCCUGGAGGAGCCGGGGUGGUGGGAAGCACUGAGGAAUUGGGUGUCAGAGGCCAUAAGCAGCCCCCGGGCAGCCGCCUGGUCCCUGACACCCGGCUGCUCCGGUGCUUCCCCAAAAUGUCCCCCAGGCCUGCAGCAGAAGGCCUGGAGGCUGGGACACCACCCCAGCGGGAGGGUGGGGACAGCCCGAGGUGCCC